Molecule: ribosomal RNA, 468 nt
Filed under: uncultured bacterium
Lineage: Bacteria
Description: partial 16S ribosomal RNA
Rfam family: Bacterial small subunit ribosomal RNA
Source: RNAcentral
GACGAACGCUGGCGGCGUGCUUAACACAUGCAAGUCGAACGGAAAGGCCCUGCUUUUGUGGGGUGCUCGAGUGGCGAACGGGUGAGUAGCACGUGAGUAACCUGCCCUUGACUUUGGGAUAACUUCAGGAAACUGGGGCUAAUACCGGAUAGGAGCUCCUGCUGCAUGGUGGGGGUUGGAAAGUUUCGGCGGUUGGGGAUGGACUCGCGGCUUAUCAGCUUGUUGGUGGGGUAGUGGCUUACCAAGGCUUUGACGGGUAGCCGGCCUGAGAGGGUGACCGGCCACAUUGGGACUGAGAUACGGCCCAGACUCCUACGGGAGGCAGCAGUGGGGAAUAUUGCACAAUGGGCGGAAGCCUGAUGCAGCAACGCCGCGUGCGGGAUGACGGCCUUCGGGUUGUAAACCGCUUUCGCCUGUGACGAAGCGUGAGUGACGGUAAUGGGUAAAGAAGCACCGGCUAACUACGCG